Molecule: ribosomal RNA, 492 nt
Filed under: uncultured bacterium
Lineage: Bacteria
Description: partial 16S ribosomal RNA
Rfam family: Bacterial small subunit ribosomal RNA
Source: RNAcentral
AGUGAACGCUGGCGGUAGGCCUAACACAUGCAAGUCGAACGGCAGCACAGUAAGAGCUUGCUCUUACGGGUGGCGAGUGGCGGACGGGUGAGGAAUACAUCGGAAUCUACUUUUUCGUGGGGGAUAACGUAGGGAAACUUACGCUAAUACCGCAUACGACCUACGGGUGAAAGCAGGGGAUCUUCGGACCUUGCGCGAUUGAAUGAGCCGAUGUCGGAUUAGCUAGUUGGCGGGGUAAAGGCCCACCAAGGCGACGAUCCGUAGCUGGUCUGAGAGGAUGAUCAGCCACACUGGAACUGAGAGACGGUCCAGACUCCUACGGGAGGCAGCAGUGGGGAAUAUUGGACAAUGGGCGCAAGCCUGAUCCGGCCAUACCGCGUGGGUGAAGAAGGCCUUCGGGUUGUAAAGCCCUUUUGUUGGGAAAGAAAAGCAGCAGGUUAAUACCCCGCUGUUCUGACGGUACCCAAAGAAUAAGCACCGGCUAACUUCGUG